CCCUUAGAUGUUCUGGGCCGCACGCGCGCUACACUGAUUCAUGCAUCAAGUAUACAACCUUGGUCGAAAGGCUUGGGUAAUCUUUGAAACUGAAUCGUGCUGGGGAUUGGAGCUUGUAAUUAUUCUCCAUGAACGAGGAAUUCCUAGUAAACGCGAGUCAUCAGCUCGCAUUGAUUACGUCCCUGCCCUUUGUACACACCGCCCGUCGCUACUACCGAUUGAAUGAUUUAGUGAGGACUUCGGACUGGGACCGAUGCGGCUUUCGGGCUGCGUCGGUAUUCUGGAAAGAUGUCCAAACUGUAUCAUUUAGAGGAAGUAAAAGUCGUAACA
RNAcentral lists this ribosomal RNA (330 nucleotides) under uncultured eukaryote. RNAcentral's name for it is "partial 18S ribosomal RNA". It matches the Rfam family "Eukaryotic small subunit ribosomal RNA", at positions 1470 to 1796 of the family's 1831-position model. The record is from RNAcentral.